This 481-nucleotide ribosomal RNA is filed under the name uncultured bacterium. RNAcentral describes it as "partial 16S ribosomal RNA". It matches the Rfam family "Bacterial small subunit ribosomal RNA", at positions 28 to 507 of the family's 1533-position model. The record is from RNAcentral.
GACGAACGUUGGCGGCGUGCUUAAUACAUGCAAGUCAACUGAAGCAGUGGUAGCAAUAUCGCUGUGGAGGUGGCGCACGGGUGAGUAACACGUAGGUAAUCUGCCUUCAGGUCUGGCAUAACUCCGGGAAACCGGGGCUAAUAGCAGAUGAUGCAGCGGCUCGACAUCGAGACAGUUGUUAAAGCUAUGGCGCCUGAAGAUGAGCCUGCGUCUGAUUAGCUAGUUGGCGGGGUAACGGCCCACCAAGGCAACGAUCAGUAGCUGGUCUGAGAGGAUGAUCAGCCACACUGGAACUGAGACACGGUCCAGACUCCGACGGGAGGCAGCAGUAAGGAAUAUUGCGCAAUGGGAGAAAUCCUGAAGCAGCAACGCCGCGUGAGGGACGAAGGGCUUUUGCUUGUAAACCUCUGUAGUGAGAGAAAAAAAUCCCAAUCUUUGGGACAUGAUGGUAUCUCAAAAGUAAGCCCCGGCUAACUACGUG